Molecule: long non-coding RNA, 552 nt
Filed under: Androctonus crassicauda
Lineage: Eukaryota; Metazoa; Arthropoda; Arachnida; Scorpiones; Buthidae
Source: RNAcentral
AGCGGUUAACCGAUAGACGUCGUUGUUAGCAGCGGAGUUUGGAAAGUGAAAGAUGGCCGAGGAAGUGAGGUGUGUUGAGUUAAAGAGGAGUGACUCGUUUGGUUUUGGAUUUUCUGUAUUUGGAGGUUCAGGUUCUGAUUUUCCUCCGGUUGUCUACGAUGUUGUGGAAAACUCUCCGGCCGCUAUCAGUGGACAGGUAGGUGAAAGCGUGUCAAACGAUCUGUCGUUACUAACAGUUGGCAAAUGUUUUCCACUUCCGUCAAUUAAUCAAAUUUUAAGUUUUUAAUCAUGUCCUUUAGUUAGCUUGGAUCAAUUAUGAUAAUUCUUCACUUCUUAAAUUGUUAUCAUCGAUGAAUCGAAAAUUUGAUUGGCUUUGUUCUUAAAGUUGUUUCUGAUUAGCAUAAUCUUUCUUUAAUUAUUAAUAAUAUAUAUUUAAAAUUGAUUUUAAUUUUAAAACAGGCUCUUAUUAUCAGCUGAUUCGUAAAUGACUCAUAUAGAUCAUCUUUUUCCAUAAAAACAUUAAAACGAGUUUAACUCCUAUCAUACUUAAAC